UGAAUCAGUAGGAAAAUUUGAAUAGAAGACCUUGAAGUUGAGUCAUUAGUGAUGCUGGGCUACAGAGUAGGACUGUUCAUCUAUGUCACUAAAAUGGAAAAAAAAAAAAUUGGUUGUCAUUGUGGAAGAGGUUUAGGUUUAGAUUAAAACUUGUUCUCUUUAAAGUCACCAAGAAUGAUGACAUAAGAGGAAAAUUGUGAUUCAGGUGCUAGAAUUGCUCGUAAGUAUGAAGAAAUGUUCUAAAAAAGCAGUAGAUGACAAAUCACUAUAGCCUAGACUUAAGGGAAAAUAGUUUUUAAUGGUUUAAGGUUUUAAAAUGUUAGCAUCAAA
RNAcentral lists this long non-coding RNA (330 nucleotides) under Bos taurus (domestic cattle). RNAcentral describes it as "long non-coding RNA NONBTAT013898". The record is from RNAcentral. Lineage: Eukaryota; Metazoa; Chordata; Mammalia; Artiodactyla; Bovidae.